RNAcentral lists this ribosomal RNA (170 nucleotides) under uncultured bacterium. Its description in RNAcentral is "partial 16S ribosomal RNA". It matches the Rfam family "Bacterial small subunit ribosomal RNA", at positions 337 to 524 of the family's 1533-position model. The record is from RNAcentral.
UCCUACGGGAGGCAGCAGUGAGGAAUCUUCCACAAUGGGGGAAACCCUGAUGGAGCAACGCCGCGUGCAGGAUGAAGGCCUUCGGGUUGUAAACUGCUUUUAUAAGUGAAGAAUAUGACGGUAACUUAUGAAUAAGCACCGGCUAACUACGUGCCAGCAGCCGCGGUAAU